GACGAACGCUGGCGGCGUGCUUAACACAUGCAAGUCGAGCGGAAAGGCCCUUUCGGGGGUACUCGAGCGGCGAACGGGUGAGUAACACGUGAGUAAUCUGCCCUUGGCUUUGGGAUAACCACCGGAAGCGGUGGCUAAUACCGGAUAUGACGCGACCCGGCAUCGGGGUGUGUGGAAAGUUUUUUCGGCCAGGGGUGUGCCCGCGGCCUAUCAGCUUGUUGGUGGGGUAAUGGCCUACCAAGGCUUCGACGGGUAGCCGGCCUGAGAGGGUGACCGGCCACACUGGGACUGAGACACGGCCCAGACUCCUACGGGAGGCAGCAGUGGGGAAUAUUGGACAAUGGGCGGAAGCCUGAUCCAGCAACGCCGCGUGAGGGAUGACGGCCCUCGGGUUGUAAACCUCUUUCAGUACCGACGAAGCGCCGAUGAUGGUGGUGACGGUAGGUACAGAAGAAGCACCGGCCAACUACGUGCCAGCCGCCGCCGUAA
RNAcentral lists this ribosomal RNA (489 nucleotides) under uncultured bacterium. RNAcentral describes it as "partial 16S ribosomal RNA". It matches the Rfam family "Bacterial small subunit ribosomal RNA", at positions 28 to 523 of the family's 1533-position model. The record is from RNAcentral.